Molecule: non-coding RNA, 330 nt
Organism: Pelobates cultripes (western spadefoot toad)
Lineage: Eukaryota; Metazoa; Chordata; Amphibia; Anura; Pelobatidae
Source: the annotation of a GenBank genome assembly
CUGCCAUUCAGUGUCUCUGCCCUCUGCAUAGAGACACUGAACACUUAUAGAGAUUCUUUGAUUCGAUGCAUCUCUGAGGAGAUGCUGAUUGGCCAUGGUUUUGCUGGCUCUGCCCUUAUCUGCCUCCAUGACAGUCUCAGCCAAUCCAAUGGGAAAGCAUUGUGAUUUCCUAAGUAUAACAUUUCUGAUGUCAGCUGGGCAGGCAGAUCUGGGACAGUGCCAGCAGACUGGAAUAAAAGUAAGAUUUUCCUAUAUUUAGGGAGGAUGGGGAGGAGGAGCCUGGAUGGUGUCUUUAACACUAUAGGUCCUAUAGUGUUCCUUUAAGCUUAA